AAGAUUCCUAGUGGGAUUUUAGAAACUCGCAAAGAAGACCUCUGUUGAACACAGACUGCAGUUCCAGCCACCACAGCUAAUCUGGAUCAUGAAUGGGAGCCACCGUGGUCUUGGCAAGUCCGAAAACAUAGCUGAGUAGCUCGUCUAGAAAAGAGAUUUGUGUUCAGCUGAGUUAAAAGAAGUAUUUACCUCAAACCUCUCCUCUUGCACAACCAACCCCCGUUAUAAAAGGAAGUGCAAAAUGGAAUAAAC
RNAcentral lists this long non-coding RNA (252 nucleotides) under Homo sapiens (human). RNAcentral describes it as "HSALNT0303290". The record is from RNAcentral. Lineage: Eukaryota; Metazoa; Chordata; Mammalia; Primates; Hominidae.